GAUGAACGCUGGCGGCGUGCCUAAUACAUGCAAGUCGAGCGAACGGACGAGAAGCUUGCUUCUCUGAUGUUAGCGGCGGACGGGUGAGUAACACGUGGAUAACCUACCUAUAAGACUGGGAUAACUUCGGGAAACCGGAGCUAAUACCGGAUAAUAUUUUGAACCGCAUGGUUCAAAAGUGAAAGACGGUCUUGCUGUCACUUAUAGAUGGAUCCGCGCUGCAUUAGCUAGUUGGUAAGGUAACGGCUUACCAAGGCAACGAUGCGUAGCCGACCUGAGAGGGUGAUCGGCCACACUGGAACUGAGACACGGUCCAGACUCCUACGGGAGGCAGCAGUAGGGAAUCUUCCGCAAUGGGCGAAAGCCUGACGGAGCAACGCCGCGUGAGUGAUGAAGGUCUUCGGAUCGUAAAACUCUGUUAUUAGGGAAGAACAUAUGUGUAAGUAACUGUGCACAUCUUGACGUUACCUAAUCAGAAAGCCACGGCUAACUACGUG
RNAcentral lists this ribosomal RNA (497 nucleotides) under uncultured bacterium. RNAcentral's name for it is "partial 16S ribosomal RNA". It matches the Rfam family "Bacterial small subunit ribosomal RNA", at positions 28 to 507 of the family's 1533-position model. The record is from RNAcentral.